Molecule: long non-coding RNA, 2390 nt
Organism: Mustela lutreola (European mink)
Lineage: Eukaryota; Metazoa; Chordata; Mammalia; Carnivora; Mustelidae
Exons: 2
Source: RefSeq, a predicted model, not a curated record
AUAAAUAAAAUCACAUUUUUGGGACGACUGGUUGGCUCUGUUGGUUAAGUGUCUGCUUUUGACUCAGGUCAUGAUACCAGGGUAGUCCUGCAUCAGGCUUCUUGCUCUGUAAUGAGCCUGCUUUUCCCUCUGUCUCUUUCCCUCUACUUGUGUUUUCUCUUUCUCUCUUUCUCAAAUAAAUAAAUAAAAUCUUUAAAAAAUAAAUCACAUUUUCUUAGAAAUGUACUGCUUUUUGGGAAGUUUGAGGUUCCUAUAGGCUUCUCCAGUCAGGCCUGGGAACCUAGAUACUAGGGUGCUAAACAGAUUGGAAUAGAGGGUAAGUUUGGCAGCCUGAAGCUAUAUGUUGCAGCCAUUGGAGAGGAGGCGAAAGAGAGAGAUGGCGCCCUUUAUGUGACUCUUCUGAAGUCCUGGAUUGAGAAAGGAGAGUCCUGUUCCAUGUCUUAGGAUAUGGUAGCAUCAGAGCUACUAAUUGUCUGGUAUUUAUGUUUGUUGGGACUCUUCGGUGAGUAACAGUGAGAAUUUCUUCAAGCCAUCUUUUUUAUAUUUCAGAGGUAUCUUGUGCAGCCCAAGGGCAGGAAGGGCUGUGCUUAGCUUCGGAAGCCCUUUAGGCUUGUACUUUCUCAUCUCCUUGGACCAGCUAUUCCUGCUUCUUCAUUUUUGUUACAGAGCACAGCAGCCCUAUAGUUCCUGUGUUUACAUGUUAUAGUUUUGGCUAUUCACAGACCAAAAUUGUGUCUCUCAGCACCAGCUCCAGUUUCCAGGAACUGUACUUGAUCAGCUCAUCUGGGUUAGGCGAUCUUCCUAUGGUCUAGACUCACAGUUGGCUGCUGGAUGGUGAGCUCAGUUAACAUGAUCUCCCGAAGGGUGUUUGCCUCACUAAAUGCUUUGUAAUUUAGAGUAUUAUCUGUGACUCUGGAGAUCUGUACGUGUACAUGUCUAUUAGCAAUUUACAUUUCAUCCAGUAAGAGUUAGGUCUUACUGUAUUGCCAGCUCUCCUGACAGAGUAAGGCACAGAAAAGUGUACUUCUCUAUUUUUUCUUUUUCUUUUGAAGAUUUUAUUUAUUUAUUUGACAGAGAGAGCACAAGCAGGGGGCGCGGCAGGCAGAGGGAGAGGGAGAGAGAAACAGGCUUCCCAAGGAGCAGGGAGCCGGAUGUGGGGCUCAAUCCUGGGACCCUGGGAUCAUGACCUGAGCUGAAGGCAGUUGCUUAACCAGCUGAGCUACCCAGGUGCCUUGUGUACUUCUCUUUUGAAUGAAUGAAUAAGUACUCAGAGUUUACCAAUCUGUGUCCCUAGCUUCAUCAGGCUUACAGAGAAUCUAUGGUAAUUAAAUAAACUGAAAUAAGAUUAUUUCUUAGGCAUAUACAUAAGCCAGUUCUCACUUGGGGCUAGAGAAUAAAUGGAUUUUUCAGGGCUAGCAGUUGGGAGUCUUUACUUUCUUUUAGAGGGACUUUCUUUCCUUUAGUCCUGGCCAGUUUAAAACUUCAAGUUGUGAGGUGCAGGGUGGCUCAGUGGGUUAAAGCCUCUGCCUUCAGCUCAGGUCAUGAUCCUAGGGUCCUGAGAUCGAAUCCCGCACCAGGCUCUCUGCUCAGCAGGGAGCCUGCUUCUUCCUCUCUCUCUGUCUGCCUCUCUGCCUACCUGUGAUCUCCGUCUGCCCAAUAAAUAAACUCUUAAAAAAAUAAAACUUCAGGUUGCUAUUGGGACGCCUGCGUGACUCAGUCGGUUAAGCCACUGCCUUCGGCUCAUGUCUUGAUCCCAGGGUCCUGGAAUCAAGUCCCACAUCGGGCUCCUUGCUCAGCCAGGAGCCUGCUUCUCUCUCUGCCUCUGCCUGCCACUCUGCCUGCUUGUGUGCUCUCUCCCUCAUUCUCUCUGAUAAAUAAAUAAAAUCUUAAAAAAAAAAACAAAAAACCUUCCGGUUGUUAUAUCCAUAGUGGCAGAUAAGAUGAUUGUAACUCAUGUAUACAAAGUAUUUGCUCUCUGUCAGGAGCUGUGCACUUUAUGGUCUUUGGCACAUUGAGUCCCAUCACAGUUUUUGGAGGUAGUGCUAUUAUUCGCCCUUUUAUGAUAUGAAACAGAGAUUCAGAGAAGUAGAAUAACUUCCUGAAGGCCAUACAGAUUGUGUGGCAGAGCCAGAAUUUGAGUCAGGUCUAGCUCAUUCCAGAGCCUCUAUACAACAUUUCCUCUCCCCGCUUUUAUUUUUUAUUUUUUUAAAAGAUUUUGUUUAUUUAUUUGAGAGAGAGAGAGAUCACAAGUAGGCGGAGAGUCAGGCAGAGAGGGGGAAGCAGGCUCCCUGCCGAGCAGAGAGCCCCAUGCGGGACUCAAUCCCAGGACCCCGAGAUCAUGACCCGAGUCGAAGGCAGAGGCUUAACCCACUGAGCCACCCAGGCGCCCC